This 501-nucleotide long non-coding RNA is filed under the name Homo sapiens (human). Its description in RNAcentral is "non-protein coding lnc-ABCC5-3:12". Lineage: Eukaryota; Metazoa; Chordata; Mammalia; Primates; Hominidae. The record is from RNAcentral.
ACAGGGGUCUGAGGUUGAUCCCGGAGGCGCGAGGAGUCGGUGAACAAGCCGAGAUUCUUGUGGCGUGAUAGGACUUGUGGUCGCCACGAAGGGGCCAGCUCCAUCGGGAAUCUGUAAUCGCCCAGCAGUUUCCCCGCCCCGCGCAUGUGAAAUAUGUAGCCCUCCGUAUUCAUUCUAGAAACUUCUGGGAACCCAGCGCCUUGGGGAGAUAGAACCGAGCCAGAUGUUCCCCCGCUGCGAGGAACUCAGAACCUGCAUAAAUAGAGAAGGUGGCAGGCAUAUAGUAGGGAGACCAGUAAUUCCAUUGAGCGCUGAUUUUGGGCCAGGCACGAUACAAGCAUUAUCUCUGCAAAACAUCUUAUUCAUUCGUUCAGCAAACGUUUCUUGAACUCUCAGAAGGAUGAAGGAAGUUUACCCAGCUACCUAUCAGCCUCCUGUGUCUUAAGCAGAGUGGAGACGGGGGUGGAUCCAGGCGCACCAGUCAAAAGGAGCACAUCUUGA